RNAcentral lists this long non-coding RNA (598 nucleotides) under Anser brachyrhynchus (Pink-footed goose). RNAcentral's name for it is "lncRNA (ENSABRG00000006186.1)". The record is from RNAcentral. Lineage: Eukaryota; Metazoa; Chordata; Aves; Anseriformes; Anatidae.
CUUCUAGGUAUUUUUACUGUUUAUGCAGUGAAUAUUAAAAGGCGCAGGAAUUUGAGAUCUCAAUUGAUAUGUAAUUGUAGUAUGGGAGAGCUGCCCUUGGAGCAAAGAUUUAUCUAGACCGAAUCUAGCGUAAAAAACAGCUCAAUUUCCUGCGCUGCAGGUAUGCACAAGCUGUGCAUCUAAACGAGGGAAAAGUAUAUCCAAGCACUGCCGAAUUUCUCGCUUUUUCUCUGCGCCACCGAACAGUGGCACCUCCGCCUCCCCGGGGUUAGGACUUGGCCGCUAGAGGCCCUUCUGCGCCCGCAGGAGGCGACGCAGCCAUUUCACGGCGGCUGCGGCUGCCACUGCCACUGCUACUGCUGCUGCUGCUGCUGCGAGGGGUUCUAGCGGAAACGAGGGGCAAAGUUUCCGUUUUCACUGAUGUAAUAUCAGAGGAGAUGUGGCUCUGGGGUCAUGGUUCCUUCUUGCUGGAAAGAGGACUAUAUGAAUGGGGACAUCAGGGUUACUCGAAGCUACUGUGUACGCCUGCAGUGGCCUGCAACCCAGCUAAGAACAGCUGUUUCUGUAGGGGUUGAAAUGCACCAGCAAAGUUCAUCCC